RNAcentral lists this ribosomal RNA (427 nucleotides) under uncultured bacterium. RNAcentral describes it as "bacterial SSU rRNA". It matches the Rfam family "Bacterial small subunit ribosomal RNA", at positions 355 to 774 of the family's 1533-position model. The record is from RNAcentral.
UGGGGAAUUUUGGACAAUGGGCGAAAGCCUGACCCAGCCAUGCCGCGUGAGUGAAGAAGGCCUUCGGGUUGUAAAGCUCUUUCAGCCGGAAAGAAAUCGCGCAGGAUAAUACUCUGCGUGGAUGACGGUACCGGAAGAAGAAGCACCGGCUAACUACGUGCCAGCAGCCGCGGUAAUACGUAGGGUGCGAGCGUUAAUCGGAAUUACUGGGCGUAAAGCGUGCGCAGGCGGUUUAGUAAGACAGGCGUGAAAUCCCCGGGCUCAACCUGGGAACUGCGCUUGUGACUGCUAAGCUAGAGUACGGCAGAGGGGGGUGGAAUUCCACGUGUAGCAGUGAAAUGCGUAGAUAUGCGGAGGAACACCGAUGGCGAAGGCAAUCCCCUGGACCUGUACUGACGCUCAUGCACGAAAGCGUGGGGAGCAAACA